AUGGCUCAGGAUGAACGCUAGCUACAGGCUUAACACAGUGCAAGUCGAGGGGUAGCAGGGUAGCAAUACCGCUGACGACCGGCGCACGGGUGAGUAACACGUAUCCAACCUUCCCAUAACUCAGGGAUAGCCUUUCGAAAGAAAGAUUAAUACCUGAUAGUACUUUUUCAAGGCAUCUUGAGAAGUUAAAGAUUUAUUGGUUAUGGAUGGGGAUGCGUUCCAUUAGAUAGUUGGUGAGGUAACGGCUCACCAAGUCUUCGAUGGAUAGGGGUUCUGAGAGGAAGGUCCCCCACAUUGGUACUGAGACACGGACCAAACUCCUACGGGAGGCAGCAGUGAGGAAUAUUGGUCAAUGGGCGAGAGCCUGAACCAGCCAAGUAGCGUGAAGGAUGAAGGUCCUAUGGAUUGUAAACUUCUUUUAUAGUAGAAUAAAGUGAUCCACGUGUGGAUUUUUGUAUGUAUACUAUGAAUAAGGAUCGGCUAACUCCGUGCCAGCAGCCGC
Molecule: ribosomal RNA, 502 nt
Filed under: uncultured bacterium
Lineage: Bacteria
Description: bacterial SSU rRNA
Rfam family: Bacterial small subunit ribosomal RNA
Source: RNAcentral